GUAACAAGGUUUCCGUAGGUGAACCUGCGGAAGGAACAUUA
RNAcentral lists this ribosomal RNA (41 nucleotides) under Marasmius brunneoolivascens. Its description in RNAcentral is "partial 18S ribosomal RNA". Lineage: Eukaryota; Fungi; Basidiomycota; Agaricomycetes; Agaricales; Marasmiaceae. The record is from RNAcentral.